UGCCAAGGAGGCGGCUGGCAGAAAGGGACUCAAGACUGGAAGUCAGUAAAUUGCAACUGAGUGUGUGUUGAACUGCAUAUUUCUUGGAAAGGAUCAGCUUCUGUUUUAUUUGUUUUGCUUUGGGAAACAGUAAAUCCUACUUAUCUUUGAAAUAUCUGGACAUCCUCUAUUGGAGUCACACCCCCUGCCUAAACCAUUCCCUGCUAUGAAGGACAAUAGCUAUUAUUAUAGGAGAGGCCUUCCUGAGACAAAUGGUGGCAGCGGACACAGGAACCGUGACAGGCAGCACCUCUGACAGCAGGAGGAGAACAGAAUUAAUUUGAAUGCAAGAAUAAUAGAAUAUUCGAGUUGCAAGGGACCUCACAAGUCUUCUAGUCCAGUCCUCUAAUCAGUAGAGGAAACUGCUACAGCAUCCCUGUUGGACAUCCAGCUCUAUCUGAAAACUUCUAAGGAGGAGAGCCCACCAGUGCUAAAGAAGAGAGCCCACAGCUGAACAGCUCACAGUUAAGAAAUUCUUCUUCUUCAGUUCUAGCCUAAAUCUCCUUCUUUGUAAUUUCAGUCCUUUUAUUCUAGUUCUGCCCUCAGGAGCAAAAGAGAACAAGUCAAGUCCUUCUUCUAUUUGACAGGCCUUCAGGUAGUUGAAGACAGCUAUCAUAUUUCCCUUCAGUUUUUCUCUUCUCCAGGCUAAAUAUCCUUUCAUUUUGCCCCUUUUUUAUUUUUUAUAUAAAUUCAAUAGUUUCUCAUCUGAAUGACCUUGCGCUUCAUCCCCCUAAACUUGCAAACAGGCAUGUUUCGUUAUUGCUUUACGCAGAUGAUAUUGUCCUAUUAUCUCAAACCAAGAUAGGGCUAAGCCGUGCCCUAACUUCCCUGAGCGUCUAUACUGUGAAGGAGGCCUUGGAGGUAAACUAUACCAAGACUAAGGUGAUGGUUUUUGCAAAACGCCGCCAAAUCCAUAAAUGGUCCAUAAAUUGACAUAAUAUUGAGCAGGUCAAGGUUUUCAAAUAUUUAGGGGUUGUAUUUCAUUCCAGCGAAUCUCGGAAAGCCCAUCUUAGCGUUGUUUCUCACAGUGCCCAACAGAUGGCAAAUGUGAUUAAAUCUUUUUUACUUUUCGAGAGGCUCUCUUUUUGUCCCAGUGGCUGUCAAAUUACUGAAGGCUAAAGUAUACCCUCACAUUCUUUAUGGUGCACAAAUUGGGCCUUUUGAUAACUUUUCAGUAUUAGAAACAGUUCAAACUAAAUUCUUAAGGGCCAUCCUUCAAGCCCCCAGAGGCAUAGCCAAUAUGGCUCUUUGUAGAGAGGUUGGGGUUACCACCUUGAAAAUGAAAAUCUGGUUUUGUAUAAUCAAAUUCUGGCUGCAUUUCGUUUUCUCCCGUCAGUCUAGCGCCUUUAGUGUUAAUCGCCAGCUUUACAUCUAAAUGGGAAAUAGCUCUGAAAAUGAAAUUGCAUUAUCUGUGCACGUCCCAAGAAAACCUUAUAGGGAGGGGUUUAGAUCAGGCAACAUGUUUCAUCAGACAACGAUUAUUGGACAUAGAUCUGCAGGAGGAGUGUGAGGGGAAUGUAUAUAGGCUCCCAAAAUUUCAGUCAUAAACCAGCUGAGUAUUUAGAUCAUAUAUUUUUACCUAAGUUUAGGAGAGCAUUGACCCUUGCUCGUUUGAAUGCCCUUCCUUCUGCACUCCUAGACGGGAAAUAUAAACUAGUUCUGUAUGCAUUGCAUCAAUGCCCUUGUGGUUCAGGGGAUAUAGAGUCAGUUGUUCAUGUUAUUCUGUAUCACCAAUUUUAUAGGGAUGCUGGUAUUAAAUUUAUUGCUCCUCUCUUAAAGAAUCAUCCUGGCCAUACGGAUCAAUUUUACAUGGAAUUCUUGCUGUCAAAAGUUAAAUCUGUUACCUCUAUUAAUGUGGCCAAGUUUUGUUUUGUUGCAUCCAAACUUCGUAGAGUUUGUAUUAUCAAUCUGAAUAUUUUGUAAAUUAUAAAUGUAUUAUUUUAAAUGUUAAGCUGGUCUAAGGACCAUAAUAAACUUACUGCUGCUGCUA
Long non-coding RNA from Hemicordylus capensis (graceful crag lizard), 2029 nucleotides. RefSeq lists it as uncharacterized. The record is from RefSeq and is a predicted model, not a curated record. The transcript is spliced from 2 exons. Lineage: Eukaryota; Metazoa; Chordata; Lepidosauria; Squamata; Cordylidae.